This 253-nucleotide ribosomal RNA is filed under the name uncultured bacterium. RNAcentral describes it as "partial 16S ribosomal RNA". It matches the Rfam family "Bacterial small subunit ribosomal RNA", at positions 524 to 776 of the family's 1533-position model. The record is from RNAcentral.
UACGUAGGGGGCAAGCGUUAUCCGGAUUUACUGGGUGUAAAGGGAGCGUAGACGGCGUGGCAAGCCAGAUGUGAAAUACCGGGGCUCAACCCCGGGACUGCAUUUGGAACUGUUAAGCUGGAGUGUCGGAGAGGCAGGCGGAAUUCCUAGUGUAGCGGUGAAAUGCGUAGAUAUUAGGAGGAACACCAGUGGCGAAGGCGGCCUGCUGGACGAUAACUGACGUUGAGGCUCGAAAGCGUGGGGAGCAAACAGG